UAGGGAAUCUUCGGCAAUGGACGAAAGUCUGACCGAGCAACGCCGCGUGAGUGAAGAAGGUUUUCGGAUCGUAAAACUCUGUUGUUAGAGAAGAACAAGGACGUUAGUAACUGAACGUCCCCUGACGGUAUCUAACCAGAAAGCCACGGCUAACUACGUGCCAGCAGCCGCGGUAAUACGUAGGUGGCAAGCGUUGUCCGUAUUUAUUGGGCGUAAAGCGAACGCAGGCGGUUUCUUAAGUCUGAUGUGAAAGCCCCCGGCUCAACCGGGGAGGGUCAUUGGAAACUGGGAGACUUGAGUGCAGAAGAGGAGAGUGGAAUUCCAUGUGUAGCGGUGAAAUGCGUAGAUAUAUGGAGGAACACCAGUGGCGAAGGCGGCUCUCUGGUCUGUAACUGACGCUGAGGCUCGAAAGCGUGGGGAGCAAACAGG
This 429-nucleotide ribosomal RNA is filed under the name Gemmatimonadota bacterium. RNAcentral describes it as "Gemmatimonadetes bacterium partial 16S ribosomal RNA". It matches the Rfam family "Bacterial small subunit ribosomal RNA", at positions 355 to 776 of the family's 1533-position model. Lineage: Bacteria; Pseudomonadati; Gemmatimonadota. The record is from RNAcentral.